AAGCUUCUCCCAGUGUAAAUGGGUGCUGGAUGGACAUAACCUUGAACAGAUCAAAUACUUCAGUUAUCUAGGGCUCACAUUCCAUCAUACAGGAUCUUGGAAGCACCACUGGCAAACCUCCCUUCAAAAGGCGGACAUCACAAAGCUAGCCAUAAUCAGAUUCUUUUUCACAAAGGGCGGCAAAUAUGUACCAGCAGCCUUAAGGGUUUUCAACGCAAAACGCUGCAAAUGUCUGGCAUAAUGGGGACCCGCCAAAGCUAGAUGGCUUUCAGGCAAAAUUUAUACGAUCUCUGCUGCAGGUGCCCAACGGUACCAACUCCAUACUUCUGUUAGAAGCUGGUGAAUGCCCAAUUUCAACUAAAGCGUGGUGGGCUGCCCUAAAACAGGAUGGCAGGUUGAGAGGAGUUCCCUACCAGGACAGACUUUGCUUGUGUGCUCAAGAUAUCGAUUCCAUAAAACAUAUUUUGUUGCAUUGUGCAAAAUAUGAGCAAGCCAGGGCUGAACUGACACUACCCUUGCUGGUACCUUUCCCAGGAAAAUCAGAGGCUCGCUAUGUCAGGUUCCUAUUGGAAGACCGGACAAAUGCUAGAACAUUAGCAGUGGCAAAGUUUCUGUCGGUGGUUGCAAGAACAAAUAAUCCCUAUAUUCUGAACAAAAUGCUUGUUUAACCUGGAGGUAGGCUGUAUGAAUUGUGUAUUGCUUUGUAACGAUUUGUUGGGUCUCUGGACCGUAACAAAGAUUGAUGAUAAUAUUUUGUCCCAGCCUUCUAGUUCCAAAACUUCAGUAUCUUUUAGUAACAUCCACUCUUUCAUCCAACUCCAGCACGCUGCUUCAAAAUUGUGGGAGCCAGGAAGUCAUGGAAAAGGCUUGUAGUGAAGAUUAUAAUUUUCUCCCCAUCCGAACAACUACCCCUAAUUGCAGCAGCCAUGAACAUUACAGCCUCGCGCCCUUCUGUGUCUCUGACAGUGGGAGGUCGACGCAUUGAAGGAGUUCUGGACACGGGCGGAUGUAACAGUCGUGGCAAAAUCUGCUUGGCCUUCCAGUUGGCCCACCUGUCCAGCCACACAAGUUAUUGGUGUGGGAGGUGAAUCACAGGCACGGCGCAGUCUCCACCCAAUACUCAUCCAAAGCGAUAGCGGGGUUCAGAUCACCCUCUAUCCAUUAAUAAUGGACAUUCCAGUCUCCUUAUGGGGGCGCGAUAUUUUGGCUAUUGCAGACAUCAAAUUGGAGUAAUUUAUUCUAAGGGCCACCCCUGCACUUCCACGCACCGCACUGCCGUUACGAUGGAUCACCACUACCCUAGUAUGGGUAGAACAGUGGCCUCUACCAAAAGAAAAAUUAGCAGUGGCGGCCCAGCUUAUUUCUGAACAAUCGACCCUUGGCCACAUUGAACCGUCCUCAUCUCCCUGGAACUCCCCAAUUUUCGUUAUUAAGAAAAAAUCAGGCAAAUAGCGUCUUUUGCAGGAUAGGAGGAAAAUUAACCAACAGAUACAGCCAAUGGGAACUUUACAACCUGGCAUGCCAAAUCCAAAUAUGCUCCCACGAGAAUAUCAGUUGGCGGUGAUUGAUUUAAAGGAUUGUUUUUUUUUCUAUCCCACUGGCUCCAGCAGACAGGGAACGGUUUGCUUUUACAUUGCCAGUAUAUAACAAUUCGCAGCCCACCCAGCGAUAUCAGUGGGUUGUCCUGCCUCAAGGCAUGCGGAACUCCCCUACACUUUGUCAACAUUUUGUGGGUGAAGCAUUGAAACCUUUCUGCAGGCGCCACCUAGAGGUUUUACGUUAUCAUUUCAUGGAUGACAUUUUAAUCGCUGCUAAGGAACUCCCGCCUGGCAUUUUUCAAGAACUUUCUGCCACAUUAGCGGAAGCGGGACUCUGUAUAGCGCCUGAAAAAAUUCAAUUGACGUUGCCCGCCACCUACUUGGGACAUAAAGUCUCUGCACAAGCAGCGCUGCCUAUUGUUCCCCAACUGACUAUCCCUUCAAACAUGAAGCUUGUGCAAUUACAACAACUUCUUGGGCAUUUGAAUUGGGCUCGCUCUUUCCUUGCAUUACCUACCAGCACACUAUCACCAUUGUUCUCAGCGCUCGCAGGACACAAGGAUCCAGCAGAUGUAAUCCAGGUCACUUCAGCAAUGAUCACUGCAUUACAAACCGUUAAUCAGCACCUGCGAUCUAUCCUCCUGGACAGGAUCACAGAAGCCUCUGCACACGAGCUGCAUCUGGCAGUGUUUGCUACACCAUUGUUGCCAACAGGAAUUUUAUAUGCUCAGACGGAAAAGAAGAAGACUAUCUGCAUUAUAGAAUGGCUACAUUUACCGCACACCCCACCAAAAAACAUUUAUUCCGUAAUUGAAUCCACAUCAGACAUUGUUAUCAAAGGACGUUCACGUGCUGUAGCUUUGAGCGGUUCUGAUGUUGCAUCAAUAUAUCUUCCCUUCUCACAGACUGAACAGCAGCAUUUAUUCAUAACUAAUGCUGCCGUGCAAAUUGCCUUGGCUGAUUUUAUAGGUGUCAUCAUUUUUAACCCUCCAAAGGAUGACCGUUUGACAUUUCUGACACAGGUCACCUAAGUUUUGGCUACCCCCCUUGUCUCUCACACCUCUCCCCUCUGCAUUGACCCUUUUCACAGAUGGAACAAGAAGUAGGGGGGUAGUGACAUGGGAGGAGGGAGGACAAUGGAAAUGUUUAUUUACCCCCCACAGUCUUCUGCUCAGCGAGCUGAGCUAGCGGCUGUGAGUCUUGCCUUUCAAUCCUUUCCUACUCAACCUUUCAAUCUUAUUGUGGAUACUCAGUAUGUAUAUCGCCUUUUUGCUAUUUUACCAAUAUCUUAUAUAACUCCUUCCUUGGAUUCUGACUUGUUUUCCUUGUUUCUUGCCCUGCAGGCCUUACUUCAGCACAGAGAGUUCCCUUAUUAUGUUGCACAUCUUCGCUCCCACACAUCGCACCCAGGGUAUUUAGCAGAGGGCAAUGCAAGAGCAGAUGCGGCUUUGAGGGACAUUUCUGCCUUUUCUCUCUUUUCUGAUCCUAUACUAUGUCAUAACACCUUUCACCUUCCUGCGAAAGCAUUGGCAAAGCAGUUUUCUAUUCCCUUGGCCCAAGCAAGGGAUAUAGUUUCCCACUGUGCUUCUUGUUCUAAAUCUCAGCUGGCCAUUCCUUUUGAUGCUGUCAAUCCUAGGGGCACGUCUGCAUUGGCGUGUUGGCAGAUGGAUGUCACACACACACCUGUGUUGGCUCCACUCUCCAAGGUUCACCUCACGGUGGACACCCACUCUGGAUUCAUAUGGGCUACGCCCAUGAGGGGGGAAACAGCUCGGCAUUUCAUUCAGCACACUAUCCGCUGUUUCUCAGUCAUGGGUAAACCUGCGCGUAUCAAAACUGAUAAUGGUCCAGCAUAUAUUUCUAAAACAUUUUCGGAAUUUUGUAUGUUGUGGAAUGUGAAAUUAACUCAUGGUAUACCCUUUAACUCCACAGGGCAAGCGAUAGUGGAAACAGCACACCUGACGUUCAAAACACUAUUGCUUAAACAGCUUGGCGGCCGAAGCAUACCAACAGCAGAUAUCCCUUCGGCAGUUCACCAAGUUCUUUUUGUACUUAACCGUCUUUUAUAUCCACAUCUUAGGACCCAUACCCCCGCUGAAUUGCAUUUUAGGAAGGAGGAGGCACUCCCCUGCCCCUUGGUGGUGUACCGACGCUUGCCUGAUCCCGCGUGGCAUGGACCUGUCCCGCUGAUCACGUGGGGAUGAGGGUACGCGGCAGUGGACGUUGAGGAUAAGCCUUUGUGGGUUCCAGCUCGAUGCGUGCGGCCAUGGUGAGCCUCCUCAACCGCGGAAGCGCCUUCCUAACCAUUUGCCUUGCCAUCCUUUGCUGCACCGUUAUACAAGGAAGAGAAGCAGACGACCCAGUCCAGUUGAAACCACCAUAUUUCACCUUAUCGGCUGGCAAGCAGCUGUCGUCUGAAUCUUACUCUGGCUGGCAGUAUGCACGGCUCAGCCACUUUCGAACUAGAAGAACAGCGUUGUUGAAUAAGACUUUUAGGGGAGAAAAUUAUCAUAAGAUAUGGAGGGAUAAUAUUUUUGUACAAGAUAUGAUUAUGUUUACCAGUUUAUUGCAUGCUUCUAAAUGUUGGGUGUGUAUGCCAGUCAUUCCGGCAUAAUGCUUCAUGGUGUGCCUGUCAAUGGAUCUUUUCAAUUUACUAAUAUUAUAUCCCCUAAGCAAACUUUUUGGCCUCCAGUACAAUUGACCCUCCAUGAGCCUGCCCCCAUUUGUUUUCAAAUUAAAGAGGGGAAAGAAUCAUGGGGCAUAUAUCCAAACUGUCAAUAUACAUUGAAUUUCACUUUUAAUAGCUCUUGUUCUCUUACAGGAACAUACAUGACCAAUCUCAGUGCUAUAGAAGCGAUACCAGUGCAUGGCUAAAAACUAGGAAAGAAUCCUACUAUGCAAAUUGGAGUCUGAAUUCUUCUAUCCCUGGCUUAGCAAAUGCCACAGAUGAGCAAUUUCAUAUCAGUUCCUUAUUUACUGCAGCCUUUAAUUGGUCCCAACAGAGUAGUAAUAUCAGCUAUUUACUCCAAAGAGAGUUAUGGUUGCUUUGUGGCGAAAAAGCAUACAAAGCCAUUCCUUGAAACCUCACAGGCACAUGUACAUUGGGUCUCGUGGUUCCAUUGUUGUAUAAGGUUGAUAAGUUACCAUCUUCUCUUAGACUACGAAAUCGUCGGGAGGUUAAUCCGCCCUUAAACCAAUAUAUCGGUACCCAGAUCUCUCGGGCCUUGCUGCCCUCAGUGGGCGCAGCAAUGAACUAUAGGGACCUCCAUCGGCUAGCAAAUUGGACUGAAGGAUUAUUCAAUGAUACCAUAAAAGCUUUGAAGAAUCUCAACCAGGAGGUGUCUGCAAUGAGAGCUGUGGUUUUACAGAAUCGUUAUACCUUGGAUGUGAUUUUAGCCUCAAAAGGAGGAGUUUGUGCACUUGUUCAUUCUCAUUGUUGUAUGUUUAUUCCCGAUAAUAAUGUCAGCAUAUCUGCGACGAUUGAUCAUAUGGAAACCAUGGUAGCUCACAAUCCGUUUGCUCCUCCGCCUUCCGUUGAUCCAUGGGCAUGGUUAUAUUCUUGGCUUCCGAAUGGAAGUUGGCUUCGACAUUUAUUGAUUUUAGUGAUCAUUAUAGUAGUUAUUUGCAUUAUUUUGUGUUGCUGUAUACAAUGUAUUCCUUCUUUAAUUUCUAUAUGUACUGCAUGGUUCUCCCGUCAACGGCCUGCUUCUGGCCUCACAAGAGUCGCCUAUCACGCUCAAUAUAACCGUAUUGGUACUGAUAUAUAUGACUCUGAUUAAAAAUAUAAAGAAAGAGGACAUGUGGGAGCCAGGAAGUCAUGGAAAAGGCUUGUAGCGCCACCUGGUGCCUCGCUGACCUCGGUGACUGCAUGUCCGUGCCUUGCAGUGUAUUAAGUGCAUGACCCUAUAUGGCGAUGGGUGGGUUUAAGACAUGACCGGAUGUAGGUAAUGUGAGACAUUGGCAAACGGCCAUGCGAGAGGAGAGAACAAAGGAUAAUAAAAGUUACGGGAGAGAAGAGAAGUUCGAAAGGAGCUGCUCAUACCAUCCUGAAAAUAUUGCUGGCUCUCUGUGUCUUUAUUUUAUGCUAAACUGCGCCAUUUGUGACGGCUGGCUCGGACACAAAAUAUCUUCUUAAAUCUAGGACUGCAAAUGCCCCCGUUUCUUUUGGCCCCA
Molecule: non-coding RNA, 5711 nt
Organism: Podarcis lilfordi (Lilford's wall lizard)
Lineage: Eukaryota; Metazoa; Chordata; Lepidosauria; Squamata; Lacertidae
Source: the annotation of a GenBank genome assembly